UCCCCGUUACCGAGGCAGUCUAGCCAGAAAAUACAACUGGCUACGAGGGUUGCGCUCGUUGAAGGACUUAACCUAACAUCUCACGACACGAGCUGACGACAGCCAUGCAUCACCUGUCACCGAGUUCCUUGCGGCACGGUCUAAUUUCUUAGACUUUCUCGGGAUGUCAAACCCUGGUAAGGUUCUUCGCGUAGCAUCGAAUUAAACCACACGCUCCACCGCUUGUGCGGGUCCCCGUCAAUUCCUUUGAGUUUUAAGCUUGCGCUCGUACUCCCCAGGCGGGAUGCUUAACGCGUUAGCUUCGCAACUGAGAGGGUCGAUACCCCCAACUGCUAGCAUCCAUCGUUUACGGCGUGGACUAC
Molecule: unclassified non-coding RNA, 362 nt
Filed under: uncultured bacterium
Lineage: Bacteria
Description: contains 16S-23S intergenic spacer region
Source: RNAcentral